RNAcentral lists this ribosomal RNA (457 nucleotides) under uncultured bacterium. Its description in RNAcentral is "bacterial SSU rRNA". It matches the Rfam family "Bacterial small subunit ribosomal RNA", at positions 8 to 502 of the family's 1533-position model. The record is from RNAcentral.
AGAGUUUGAUCCUGGCUCAGAACGAACGCUGGCGGCACGCCUAACACAUGCAAGUCGAACGAUAAGGUUCCUUCGGGAACUGGACAGUGGCGGACGGGUGAGUAACGCGUGGGAACCUGCCUAUCAGUACGGAACAACAGUUAGAAAUGACUGCUAAUACCGUAUACGCCCCUUGGGGGAAAGAUUCAUCGCUGAUAGAUGGGCCCGCGUUAGAUUAGCUAGAUGGUGAGGUAAUGGCUCACCAUGGCGACGAUCUAUAGCUGGUUUGAGAGGAUGAUCAGCCACACUGGGACUGAGACACGGCCCAGACUCCUACGGGAGGCAGCAGUGGGGAAUAUUGGACAAUGGGGGCAACCCUGAUCCAGCGAUGCCGCGUGUGUGAUGAAGGCCUUAGGGUUGUAAAACACUUUCAGAUGGGAUGAUAAUGACAGUACCAUCAGAAGAAGCUCCGCUAACU